CCUACGGGAGGCUGCAGUAGGGAAUAUUGCUCAAUGGGGGAAACCCUGAAGCAGCAACGCCGCGUGGAGGAUGAAGGUUUUCGGAUUGUAAACUCCUUUUGUUAGAGAAGAUAAUGACGGUAUCUAACGAAUAAGCACCGGCUAACUCCGUGCCAGCAGCCGCGGUAAUACGGAGGGUGCAAGCGUUACUCGGAAUCACUGGGCGUAAAGAGCGCGUAGGCGGGAUAGCAAGUCAGAUGUGAAAGCCUAUGGCUUAACCAGAGAACUGCAUUUGAAACUGUUAUUCUAGAGUAUGGGAGAGGAAGGUGGAAUUCUUGGUGUAGGGGUAAAAGCCGUAGAUAUAAAGAGGAAUACUCAUGGCGAAGGCGACCUGCUAGAACAUAACUGACGCUGAUGCGCGAAAGCGUGGGGAGCAAACAGGAUUAGAUACCCUAGUAGUC
This 440-nucleotide ribosomal RNA is filed under the name uncultured bacterium. RNAcentral's name for it is "partial 16S ribosomal RNA". It matches the Rfam family "Bacterial small subunit ribosomal RNA", at positions 338 to 795 of the family's 1533-position model. The record is from RNAcentral.